AAGUGAUGAAGCAAAAUUGCAAUCAGUUUCGACCUGAUCUUAGAUAAUAAAACUUAUCCUCACUUU
This 66-nucleotide transfer RNA is filed under the name Proboscitermes tubuliferus. RNAcentral's name for it is "tRNA-Arg". The record is from RNAcentral. Lineage: Eukaryota; Metazoa; Arthropoda; Insecta; Blattodea; Termitidae.